GGCUUUAUAGUCUAAUAAAGAUGUCAGGUUGCAAAUCUGAGGAUGUAAAUAUUACUAAGGCUU
Molecule: transfer RNA, 63 nt
Filed under: Paegniodes cupulatus
Lineage: Eukaryota; Metazoa; Arthropoda; Insecta; Ephemeroptera; Heptageniidae
Description: tRNA-Cys
Rfam family: tRNA
About the family: Transfer RNA (tRNA) molecules are approximately 80 nucleotides in length. Their secondary structure includes four short double-helical elements and three loops (D, anti-codon, and T loops).
Source: RNAcentral